CGGCUCUCUUCGGAGGGAGCGGCGGACGGGUGAGUAACGCGUGGGAAUAUGCCCAAAGGUACGGAACAACAGCUGGAAACGGCUGCUAAUACCGUAUGUGCCCUACGGGGGAAAGAUUUAUCGCCUUUGGAUUAGCCCGCGUUGGAUUAGGUAGUUGGUGAGGUAAUGGCUCACCAAGCCUACGAUCCAUAGCUGGUUUGAGAGGAUGAUCAGCCACACUGGGACUGAGACACGGCCCAG
This 240-nucleotide ribosomal RNA is filed under the name uncultured bacterium. Its description in RNAcentral is "partial 16S ribosomal RNA". It matches the Rfam family "Bacterial small subunit ribosomal RNA", at positions 67 to 334 of the family's 1533-position model. The record is from RNAcentral.